RNAcentral lists this ribosomal RNA (254 nucleotides) under uncultured bacterium. RNAcentral's name for it is "partial 16S ribosomal RNA". It matches the Rfam family "Bacterial small subunit ribosomal RNA", at positions 524 to 776 of the family's 1533-position model. The record is from RNAcentral.
UACGUAGGGGGCGAGCGUUGUCCGGAUUUACUGGGCGUAAAGGGCGCGCAGGCGGUCUGUGCAAGUUUGGAGUGACAGUCCUCGGCUUAACCGAGGAAGGCCUCUGAAAACUGCGAGACUUGAGGACCAGAGAGGGACAUAGAAUUCCGGGUGGAGUGGUGAAAUGCGUAGAUAUCCGGAGGAAUACCAAAGGCGAAGGCAGUGUCCUGGAUGGUAACUGACGCUGAGGCGCGAAAGCUAGGGGAGCGAACAGG